RNAcentral lists this ribosomal RNA (497 nucleotides) under uncultured bacterium. RNAcentral describes it as "partial 16S ribosomal RNA". It matches the Rfam family "Bacterial small subunit ribosomal RNA", at positions 28 to 507 of the family's 1533-position model. The record is from RNAcentral.
GAUGAACGCUGGCGGCGUGCCUAAUACAUGCAAGUCGAGCGAACGGACGAGAAGCUUGCUUCUCUGAUGUUAGCGGCGGACGGGUGAGUAACACGUGGAUAACCUACCUAUAAGACUGGGAUAACUUCGGGAAACCGGAGCUAAUACCGGAUAAUAUUUUGAACCGCAUGGUUCAAAAGUGAAAGACGGUCUUGCUGUCACUUAUAGAUGGAUCCGCGCUGCAUUAGCUAGUUGGUAAGGUAACGGCUUACCAAGGCAACGAUGCAUAGCCGACCUGAGAGGGUGAUCGGCCACACUGGAACUGAGACACGGUCCAGACUCCUACGGGAGGCAGCAGUAGGGAAUCUUCCGCAAUGGGCGAAAGCCUGACGGAGCAACGCCGCGUGAGUGAUGAAGGUCUUCGGAUCGUAAAACUCUGUUAUUAGGGAAGGACAUAUGUGUAAGUAACUGUGCACAUCUUGACGGUACCUAAUCAGAAAGCCACGGCUAACUAUGUG